CAGUGUGUGUGUGCUGGUGCUUGUCUUCAAUGUAUGUCUGCCAGUAUUUAUGUUCCUGUUGGUUCCACCCUGUUGUGGAUGGGGGCCCUUAAGUCUUGAGGUGGGGGUGAGGUUUUGGGUCCAGAAAUUGCUUUGACUACCCCUCUUUAGUAAUUGACAGUAGCACAUCAAAUCACUCUUGUACCCAAUUGUAUAUGAUAAAAAAUUCAAACAAACCAUCAGCACUCUGAGCAGUCUCAAGUCUGGAGUGCUCCCCAAAGGCCACCCUGAGAACUCCAGAGCAGCUUAUUCCAGCAGGAACAGGGGGAGGGGGCAGAGAAAGGCCUAACUGGAACCCUUAGCACGAUGUAACUGGGUACAACUUUUCUAUGAGGUCAGCCUUUUACCUGGCUUGUACCAAAAGUCCAUUGAGUCUAUAACUCCCACUACAUUUGGGUGCACUGUGGGUUGGCAAAGCCCCAUACAGGACUGCACCAUCUCCACUAUUCCUUCCUAUCACAUCCACCCAGGGGCACCAAGAUAUCAUCAUCCCUCCACUGGCUCUGCACACUCUACCACGUGCCCCUUCUCCAAGAUAACGGCAAGUCCUUCCUGAACAGAGGGCUUCUUCUCUUGGCCAGGAUAAACCAUGUCAGGACCUGGGACACUCUCAAGUGUCCACCCACCUGAAAUUACACUAACAGCACACACUCCCAACCUCACUGGAUCCCCAUCAUACCAGGCUACACCAACCAGGCACACGCUACCAUCAGGCCUCUGCAUCUAUGAUCAGACAAAUUGUUAUUGCUUUGGCUACCAGUGCCACCCAGUGGUCACUCUCAGGCCUCAUCUCAGUCAUCUUGAGAAGACUACACCCACCUCCCUGGAGAGAGUCCUUUCUGGGGUCCUGAUUUCACUGACACUGGCCAGAAAUGGCUCUAUUCUCACAUGGUCUCAGUUGGGCUCUCCCCAAGGGCGCUCAUUCCCACAGGUAUCUAGCUGGAGCCCCUAGUUUGCCUACUCCCUCAUCAAGCAGGUUCUUCCUAAGAUCUCUCUAUCCCACCUCAUUGAGGGGCAACCACUUGGCACUCAGUGCCUACCCAGCUCCUCUGUUCUCAUUCUUUUUAAAAAUUAAAUAUCAAUUUUAUAGAA
This is a long non-coding RNA of Perognathus longimembris pacificus (Pacific pocket mouse), 1131 nucleotides long. RefSeq lists it as uncharacterized. Lineage: Eukaryota; Metazoa; Chordata; Mammalia; Rodentia; Heteromyidae. The record is from RefSeq and is a predicted model, not a curated record. The transcript has 3 exons.